AGAUGCACCUGCAACAUACAUAAAUUCCCAGAUUAGGGGUCAAAUCAGCAACACUGGACCCAAGCCGCUUCUGCGACCCACGCCGCUUCUGCGACCCACGCCACAGCUUGCCGUUGCAACAAGGCUGGACCCUCAACCCACUGAUCGAGGUCAGGGAUCAAACCCAUUCCUCAAAGAGACAACUUUGGGUCCCUAACCCGCUGAGCCACAAGGAGAACUCCCUUUUUCAUCUGUUUAAUGGAAAAGCAAAAGAGAGUUUAGAAGACUGGCCACUUUCGGAGAUUCGAUUUCCCCCUUUGGGUCCACAGACACGGUCGAAGCUGCGUCUCUACACGUGGUAACCGUGCAGAAGCACCUGGGAUACCUCACACAUGGGUAGCAUUUGGUAAGUAUUUCAAAAUAUUUUCAAAAUGGUCCUGCAUAUGAAAACUGGAGUCUCUCUUUUUCCUCUUUUCUUUCGGAUUCUAGUUGAAAUGGCCCUGUUCAGUUACCAGACUUUUAUGUUAAGUGUGGCAAGUGGCCUUGUUGAACUGUAAAAAAUGUUCUCAGUAGGAAGCGUCUGCUCCAAGCUCCACACUUUCCAUCUGUGGAUGUUUGUGUUUGUGAGGUGUGAAUGCCUAGAUACAGAGAUGAUAGAGGCCACAGAAACACACAGGUAGGUAGCUGUGCAAAGCAGAAGGCCCUGGGGGAGGAUGCUGAGAAACAGACAAGAGGGACUUUUCUUUGCUGAGACAACCUUACCUCUGUUGUUAGCAGUGCACACUAUAUGAGAAGAAAUGACAGAUAAGUAUGGCUGAAGUCAAGGACCCUGCAUUUUCAAUAGGAAUUAAUUGCAAGUCAAAGGUUUUAUGAGCAAGAGGAAAAAAAAUUACUCCCUGACCCUAAAUUUCUAUAAAGGAUUCAACCUUUAGAAGACUUUUCUUAAAUUUCCAGCUGAUUAGAAGGUCUUAUUAUAGCUCUUAUUAAUUAUACCUGCUAUUAUAUACUCAUUCUAAAGUGAUGGACUAAGUUUAGGAUGCGCUUAGAAAUGCUCAGGGGUGUUUUUACAAGGAUUUCUGGGGCUUUAAACUUAAUUUUCUUAUUUAUCAUAAAGGUUUUUAAGAUAACCGCGUUUUGGAUUUCUAUCACAACAUAUUAGGAUAAACAUAUUCUUUUAUAAGUUUAAGAUAUUUUAGAGGGACGCUUUCAAAACAAAAUGUGAGAUGAAGUGCGAUUAGUAAGAAGGUGGUCAGCCAUCAAUAUGUAAAAUAAAGUAAUGAUAUCCUGAAUCAUUUCUUAAAAAAACAAAAAGAUGUUCGAUUGGGAAUAUGGCUGAAAUAUCUUGGCAUUCAAACAUAAACAAAAAUUUUCGAUUCAAAGGUAAAACACAGACCAUUUAAAAUCAAAGUAGAUGGAGUCCAGAUUCCCUGUUUAUUUUGUUUUCUUUGGUUCAACUCUUCUUUUUGAGCCUUCAGUCCUGAUGGAGGCAAAUUACUAAAACACAGGUUGUAUGCAGUACAGUCUCACUGCCACCAAAAGGCAGGGUGCUGGCCUCUGCAGCACAUGCACUCAGGGACCAGAUCCUCUCUAAAGGCACCAGGCUGUUGCUAAGUAAGGCAGGAAGGGCAAGGAGAAAACAGAGUCUGCAAAUAACCAGAGUGGAGGGUAAACUAACUCAGUGUUUACUGAGCACCUACUAGGCUAGGCACCAUUAGGGGCUAGGAAUCUAACAUGAAGGAAGGCAUACUUUCUGUCUGUGGGAAGCUCCUGUCCUUUUUUGGUUGUUUGCUUUUGUUUUCUUUUUUAGGGCCACACCCACGGUCUAUAGAAAUUCCCAGGCGAGGGGUCAAAUCGGUGCUGAAGCCACUGGUCUACACCACAGCCACAGCCAUGCCAGAACCGAGUCACAGCUGUGACUGAUACCACAGCUCACGGCCUGGCAACGCUGGAUCCUCCACCCACUGAGCGAGGCCAGGGAUCGAAUCCCCAUCCUCAUGGAUCCCAGCUGGAUUCGUUUCUGCUGCACCAUGAGAGCUCUGACUUUUGGGAAAGGUCUUAAACACUGUACAAAGGCUCCCAUAUCCCUCUGACCCAGCUUGCCCUAAUGUUAGUAUCUCGUAUAAUCGUCACACCUGUUAUCCAAACUAAAACACUGACCUUGGUACAGUACUAUUAAUUAACCGACACACUUGAUGUGUAUUUCACCAGCGUUUCCACUGAUGUUCCUCCUCUGGGCCAGGACCCGCGGCGGCAGCGGCGGGAGCCCAUGUGACAUUUACUUAUUAUCGUGUCUCUUUAGGCGUCUCUGUUCUGUGACAGUUCCUCACCCUCCCCUUGUCUUUCACGACCUUGACAGUUUUGUUAGUUGACUUCUGAACAGCCACAACGGAAUGUGUACAUUCUUUGCGGGAACUAUGUUUUUGCCUGGAGGUGAGAAGGCUUCAUAGAGAGACGACAUGGGAACUGGGUCCAAAAAAAUAAAGUGGGACUUUGCCAAUUUAUUAUUUAUAUCUCAUCUGUUCAAUUCAGCCUAUAUUUAUAGCCACGGGAAGACGGUUAGGCAUUAUGAAUAUAGCCUUGAACAAGACAGAAAUGAUCUCUGCUCUUAAGCGUUUUGAGGUAUGAAACAAAUCAGGACAAGUGUGUGGAGAAUUACAAAGAGGGGAUGCGUAACAUUCGUAACAUUCGGCGAAGGGAUUUUAUUUCAUCGAAGGGGCAGGGGAGAUUCCCUGGAGGAAAUGGCACGGAGUGAGCUGAGAUCUAUCCAGGGGCUCAUCAGCUGAGGGAGGACAAGAGUGUUCCAGAAAGGAGGAACAGCAUUUGCAAAUGCCUUGAGUCAGGAGCUCCUGUCAUUUUCCAGUAACUUCAAAUGCUACAUCAUUGACCCAUAUAAUGGGAGGCAGGGGUGUGAAGAAGAGGGUGGGGAGAGAUUGCGAAGAGUAACUGCUGGUUGCAUAGAAGAUGAGAAACAAAUAAGGACAAAAGAAAUAAGAGGAAGCAUAAGUAGAAAGGCAAAGUAGAACCAAAGUCCUACUGCAAAUGCACAAGUUCCAUUCCUUUUGUUUGUUUGUUUUCUGAGUUAUUUGGGAAGGGGGUGGCUGGAACAAAGAGAAGGGACAAAGGCCAAGCCAAUGGGAGACUAGCAGAUACAAAGGAUUAAGAGACACCGGGGGGGGGGUCAAGAACACUGUUUGACUACCUUUCAAGACCACGAAGACAAGGGCAUCAGCAACAUUAGAGCACUAAAAGUAAGAAAAACACUUUCUUUGAAAAAUAAACAGAUUUAUUAGUUUCCCCCAAAGGCAUCGACAUUAUGAAAAUUUUAAGAACUCUGUUAAACUUCCUUCAACUUAUUUUCAUAGCUCAGCUGUUUUAUUUUUGAAUUGCAUCACACAGGAAAUGUAAUUUCAGGGUUUAUGUUCUAAAUGUCCUGAUCUGAAACAGAGAUUCUGAUGACACUUAGUAUCAAAACCUCUAAGAUAAAAGAGUGCAGAAUACAGCUGGCCAGGAGGGCAGCUGAAGACUGAUGCAUAGGCUACUGAGUGGCAGACGAGACGCCAGCGAGGAUGAGAAGCAGGUCUGGCCAGAGAAGAGGGAAAGGUCCAUGAACACUCAGUCACCGGGAGUUCCCGUUGCAGCUCAGCAGCUUAAGAACCUGACUAGUAUCCAUGAGGAUGCAGGUUUGAUCCUUGGCCUCGCUCCGUGGGUUAAAGAUCCGGCGUUGCCGUGAUGAGCUGUGGUAUAGGUCACAGAUGCGCCUCGGAUCCCGAGUUGCUGUGGCUGUGGUAUACCUGGCAGCUGCAGCUCUGAUUCAGCCCCUAGCCUGGGAACCUCCACAUGCUGCAGGUGUGGCCCUUAAAAAAAAAAAAAUCUGUGUUAUCUCCUUCCUUCUGUCUAUAUAUACAACCACUCCUGUCUCUGUUUGACUACUUUGCCUCAUGCUACAUUAUGAUGCAUUCAUUAGCGUCCGGUACUUCACUCACCUCCACCUCAAAAGGCCUCUCUCACACCAGCCACCACACCUUCCCAGUGUCCUCUGUGAAGCUGGAGAGGAGGUCACCUGCUGGGGGACGGGGAGGAUGACGUGAGCACACGGUUGGCUGUGAAUACUAAAUCCAGAGCAGUUCAGACAAAUUAGGUUAUUCACCUGCUUGGUACUGAUAAGGAUUUUGAAAACUGUUUCAUAUGCAAAACUAGUUUCAACCUAAAACCUGUUUACCCAGCAUCUCAACGGGGACAUUUCAUCAGCAGCUCACGUGGUUAAUUUAAGGUUUCUUAUCAUCCCCAACCUUGCUGCCAGCCGUCAGUUCUGUCUCCACACUGUACUUUUUCACUCCUUUCCCACUUAAACCCAAUCAGGGUAUGCUGAGUGCCUGCUGAAUGCACUCGUUUGGUCAUGCGAGUAAUUACAUGUGAAAGCUGCUAAAACGGAGGUGGCUACUGAGUGCGUGGGAACAAGGUUUACAAGGUUUUUUCAAGGUUUACAAAGCCACCUUUUGGCCACCCCUGGCUUCUCUUUAUCCCCUCCUCUACCUUCUCUUUCUCUUUACUUUAGACCUAACAUAGAUACAAAAUACCACUUCUGUUCUAAUAUGUAUAAAUACCAUUUCUAGUCAGCUGACCAAACACAAGAAAACAGUUCCACGUAAUUUCCAUAAUAGCAUCAAAUCUCCUGAAAACGGGAUCAAAGAUGCCAUCAAUGGAUAGCAUCCAAAAUAUCUCACCCCCUCCACUUCACCAUCGUACCUCAUCUAAGCAAAUCAUGACCUCUGGUCAGUGGUUUUCAUCAAAGUCUUCUUUUCAUGGAUUCUCUUAGUUGAAAAGUGCAAUUAUUAGGGGCACUGGGUCAGAAAGUACAUGGAAUUCCAGACAUGGAAGCACCUGAAUUAAGACUCUCCCCUGCGUGGAAGCAAUACCCAGGCCAGGGCUCCAUCUCUCCUCUCUCUCCUUGCCAGUCAUUAGUCUUCUUCCCUCUGUCUUUGUGGCCAGUGUUCUGACAGAUUCAUGACUAGCUUUGAUGCCCAGUCUCACCUGCUCUCUGACUAAAUGCACAAGAGGAAGGAGGGCUGAAGGCCAUUCAGACACCUAUUUCCAUCUUCACAGCUCGGCCCCCCUGUGCCUUUCUUCUUCUGGCUUCUGUAAAAUGUAAUUUCUGGGAGUUCCCGUCGUGGCUCAGUGGUUAAUGAAUCCGACUAGGAACCAUGAGGUUGCGGGUUCGAUCCCUGGCCUCGCUCAGUGGAUUAAGGAUCCAGCAUUGCCGUGAGCCACGGUGUAGGUAGACGAAGCUCAGAUUUGGCGUUGCUGUGGCUCUGGUGUAGGCUGGCAGCUACAGUUCUGAUUCGAUCCCUAGCCUGGGAACCUCCAUAUGCCGCGGGUGCAGCCCUAAAAA
This 5368-nucleotide long non-coding RNA is filed under the name Sus scrofa (pig). RNAcentral describes it as "lncRNA (ENSSSCG00005013653.1)". Lineage: Eukaryota; Metazoa; Chordata; Mammalia; Artiodactyla; Suidae. The record is from RNAcentral.